Molecule: ribosomal RNA, 253 nt
Filed under: uncultured bacterium
Lineage: Bacteria
Description: partial 16S ribosomal RNA
Rfam family: Bacterial small subunit ribosomal RNA
Source: RNAcentral
CACGUAGGGGACGAGCGUUGUCCGGAAUCAUUGGACGUAAAGCGCGCGUAGGCGGCCCGGAAAGUCGGUUGUGAAAUCCUGGGGCUCAACCCCGGAACUGCAUCCGAUACUUCCGGGCUGGAGGCAGGUAGGGGAGAUCGGAAUUCCUGGUGUAGCGGUGAAAUGCGCAGAUAUCAGGAGGAACACCGGUGGCGAAGGCGGAUCUCUGGGCCUUGCCUGACGCUGAGGCGCGAAAGCUAGGGGAGCGAACAGG